RNAcentral lists this ribosomal RNA (167 nucleotides) under uncultured bacterium. RNAcentral's name for it is "partial 16S ribosomal RNA". It matches the Rfam family "Bacterial small subunit ribosomal RNA", at positions 1333 to 1500 of the family's 1533-position model. The record is from RNAcentral.
CACUAGUAAUCGCGGAUCAGCAUGCCGCGGUGAAUGCGUUCUCGGGCCUUGUACACACCGCCCGUCACACCAUGAGAGUCGGGAACACCCGAAGUCCGUAGCCUAACCGCAAGGGGGCGCGGCCGAAGGUGGGUUCGAUAAUUGGGGUGAAGUCGUAACAAGGUACC